ACCAUGCAGUCGACGGAAAGGCCCUUCGGGGUACUCGAGUGGCGAACGGGUGAGUAACACGUGGGUGAUCUGCCCUGCACUUUGGGAUAAGCCUGGGAAACUGGGUCUAAUACCGAAUAGGACCACGCGCUUCAUGGUGUGUGGUGGAAAGCUUUUGCGGUGUGGGAUGGGCCCGCGGCCUAUCAGCUUGUUGGUGGGGUAAUGGCCUACCAAGGCGACGACGGGUAGCCGGCCUGAGAGGGUGACCGGCCACACUGGGACUGAGAUACGGCCCAGACUCCUACGGGAGGCAGCAGUGGGGAAUAUUGCACAAUGGGCGCAAGCCUGAUGCAGCGACGCCGCGUGAGGGAUGACGGCCUUCGGGUUGUAAACCUCUUUCAAUAGGGACGAAGCGCGAGUGACGGUACCUAUAGAAGAAGCACCGGCCAACUACGUGCCAGCAGCCGCGGUAAUACGUAGGGUGCGAGCGUUGUCCGGAAUUACUGGGCGUAAAGAGCUCGUAGGUGGUUUGUCGCGUUGUUCGUGAAAACUCACAGCUUAACUGUGGGCGUGCGGGCGAUACGGGCAGACUAGAGUACUGCAGGGGAGACUGGAAUUCCUGGUGUAGCGGUGGAAUGCGCAGAUAUCAGGAGGAACACCGGUGGCGAAGGCGGGUCUCUGGGCAGUAACUGACGCUGAGGAGCGAAAGCGUGGGGAGCGAACAGGAUUAGAUACCCUGGUAGUCCACGCCGUAAACGGUGGGUACUAGGUGUGGGUUCCUUCCUUGGGAUCCGUGCCGUAGCUAACGCAUUAAGUACCCCGCCUGGGGAGUACGGCCGCAAGGCUAAAACUCAAAGGAAUUGACGGGGGCCCGCACAAGCGGCGGAGCAUGUGGAUUAAUUCGAUGCAACGCGAAGAACCUUACCUGGGUUUGACAUGCACAGGACGCCGGCAGAGAUGUCGGUUCCCUUGUGGCCUGUGUGCAGGUGGUGCAUGGCUGUCGUCAGCUCGUGUCGUGAGAUGUUGGGUUAAGUCCCGCAACGAGCGCAACCCUUGUCCUAUGUUGCCAGCGGGUUAUGCCGGGGACUCGUAGGAGACUGCCGGGGUCAACUCGGAGGAAGGUGGGGAUGACGUCAAGUCAUCAUGCCCCUUAUGUCCAGGGCUUCACACAUGCUACAAUGGCCGGUACAAAGGGCUGCGAUGCCGUGAGGUGGAGCGAAUCCUUUCAAAGCCGGUCUCAGUUCGGAUCGGGGUCUGCAACUCGACCCCGUGAAGUCGGAGUCGCUAGUAAUCGCAGAUCAGCAACGCUGCGGUGAAUACGUUCCCGGGCCUUGUACACACCGCCCGUCACGUCAUGAAAGUCGGUAACACCCGAAGCCGGUGGCCUAACCCUUGGUGGAGG
This 1381-nucleotide ribosomal RNA is filed under the name Mycolicibacterium sp. RNAcentral's name for it is "bacterial SSU rRNA". It matches the Rfam family "Bacterial small subunit ribosomal RNA". The record is from RNAcentral. Lineage: Bacteria; Bacillati; Actinomycetota; Actinomycetes; Mycobacteriales; Mycobacteriaceae.